ACACGACUACAUUAGAUACCCGGGUAGUCCUAGGCGUAAAUGAUGCGAGUUAAGUGUGGGGGCAUCUACGAGAUGGCCCUGUGCUGUAGGGUAGCCGUUAAACUCGCUGCCUGGGGAGUACGGUCGCAAGGCUGAAACUUAAAGGAAUUGGCGGGGAGCACCACAACGGGUGGAGCCUGCGGUUUAAUUGGACUCAACGCCGGGAAGCUCACCGGAUAAGACAGCGGAAUGAUUGCCGGGCUGAAGACUCUGCAUGACUAGCUG
This 264-nucleotide ribosomal RNA is filed under the name uncultured archaeon. Its description in RNAcentral is "partial 16S ribosomal RNA". It matches the Rfam family "Archaeal small subunit ribosomal RNA", at positions 717 to 982 of the family's 1478-position model. The record is from RNAcentral.